Molecule: ribosomal RNA, 484 nt
Filed under: uncultured bacterium
Lineage: Bacteria
Description: partial 16S ribosomal RNA
Rfam family: Bacterial small subunit ribosomal RNA
Source: RNAcentral
AUUGAACGCUGGCGGCAGGCCUAACACAUGCAAGUCGAGCGGAUGAAGGGAGCUUGCUCCUGGAUUCAGCGGCGGACGGGUGAGUAAUGCCUAGGAAUCUGCCUGGUAGUGGGGGAUAACGUCCGGAAACGGGCGCUAAUACCGCAUACGUCCUGAGGGAGAAAGUGGGGGAUCUUCGGACCUCACGCUAUCAGAUGAGCCUAGGACGGAUUAGCUAGUUGGUGGGGUAAAGGCCUACCAAGGCGACGAUCCGUAACUGGUCUGAGAGGAUGAUCAGUCACACUGGAACUGAGACACGGUCCAGACUCCUACGGGAGGCAGCAGUGGGGAAUAUUGGACAAUGGGCGAAAGCCUGAUCCAGCCAGGCCGCGUGUGUGAAGAAGGUCUUCGGAUUGUAAAGCACGUUAAGUUGGGAGGAAGGGCAGUAAGUUAAUACCUUGCUGUUUUGACGUUACCAACAGAAUAAGCACCGGCUAACUUCGUG